UAGGGAAUCUUCGGCAAUGGGGGGAACCCUGACCGAGCAACGCCGCGUGAGUGAAGAAGGUUUUCGGAUCGUAAAGCUCUGUUGUUAAGGAAGAACGAGUGUGAGAAUGGAAAGUUCAUGCUGUGACGGUACUUAACCAGAAAGGGACGGCUAACUACGUGCCAGCAGCCGCGGUAAUACGUAGGUCCCGAGCGUUGUCCGGAUUUAUUGGGCGUAAAGCGAGCGCAGGCGGUUAGAAAAGUCUGAAGUGAAAGGCAGUGGCUCAACCAUUGUAGGCUUUGGAAACUGUUUAUCUUGAGUGCAGAAGGGGAGAGUGGAAUUCCAUGUGUAGCGGUGAAAUGCGUAGAUAUAUGGAGGAACACCGGUGGCGAAAGCGGCUCUCUGGUCUGUAACUGACGCUGAGGCUCGAAAGCGUGGGGAGCGAACAGG
This 429-nucleotide ribosomal RNA is filed under the name Verrucomicrobiota bacterium. RNAcentral describes it as "Verrucomicrobia bacterium partial 16S ribosomal RNA". It matches the Rfam family "Bacterial small subunit ribosomal RNA", at positions 355 to 776 of the family's 1533-position model. Lineage: Bacteria; Pseudomonadati; Verrucomicrobiota. The record is from RNAcentral.